UACGGAGGGUGCAAGCGUUAUCCGGAUUCACUGGGUUUAAAGGGCGUGCAGGCGGGCUGGUAAGUCAGUGGUGAAAGCCUUGAGCUUAACUCGAGAACUGCCAUUGAUACUAUCAGUCUUGAAUAUUGUUGAGGUUUGCGGAAUGGGUCAUGUAGCGGUGAAAUGCAUAGAUAUGACCCGGAACACCUAUUGCGAAGGCAGCAGGCUAAACAAAGAUUGACGCUGAGGCUCGAAAGCGUGGGGAUCAAACAGG
This 253-nucleotide ribosomal RNA is filed under the name uncultured bacterium. RNAcentral describes it as "partial 16S ribosomal RNA". It matches the Rfam family "Bacterial small subunit ribosomal RNA", at positions 524 to 776 of the family's 1533-position model. The record is from RNAcentral.